Molecule: ribosomal RNA, 333 nt
Filed under: Triticum aestivum (bread wheat)
Lineage: Eukaryota; Viridiplantae; Streptophyta; Magnoliopsida; Poales; Poaceae
Description: partial small subunit ribosomal RNA
Source: RNAcentral
AUGCACUGGUAUGCGCGGUGGAAAAUGUGCGUCCCAAAGAAGAAGGAUGGUAUGGGGUUUAGAGACCUUCACAACUUUAAUCUUGGUAUGUUAGCAAAGCAGUGUUGGUGACUUCUCCAAAAUCCCGACUCUCUAUGUGCGCAAGUGCUGAGUGCUAAGUACUAUCCAGAUGGUGACAUACUAAAAGCAUGCCCACAGAAAGGUUCCUCGUUCACAUGGCAAAGCAUUGUUGCAGGAAUUCAGACCUUUAAAAGAGGAUGCAUUUGGUGGGUGGGAUCAGAUUCACACAUAAACAUUUGGGAAGACCCUUGGAUCCCUUGUAGUACAGUCUAG